UGGGGAAUAUUGCACAAUGGGGGAAACCCUGAUGCAGCAACGCCGCGUGAAGGAAGAAGGGUUUCGGCUCGUAAACUUCUAUCGACGGGGAAGAAAAAAAUGACGGUACCCGAGUAAGAAGCACCGGCUAACUACGUGCCAGCAGCCGCGGUAAUACGUAGGGUGCAAGCGUUAUCCGGAUUUACUGGGUGUAAAGGGUGCGUAGGCGGCCAGUUAAGCCAUAUGUGAAAUGCGGGGGCUCAACCCCUGAACUGCAUAAGGAACUGACAGGCUAGAGUGCAGGAGAGGUAAGUGGAAUUCCUAGUGUAGCGGUGAAAUGCGUAGAUAUUAGGAGGAACACCAGUGGCGAAGGCGACUUACUGGACUGAAACUGACGCUGAGGCACGAAAGCGUGGGGAGCAAACAGGAUUAGAUACCCCCGUAGUCC
RNAcentral lists this ribosomal RNA (427 nucleotides) under uncultured bacterium. RNAcentral describes it as "bacterial SSU rRNA". It matches the Rfam family "Bacterial small subunit ribosomal RNA", at positions 355 to 796 of the family's 1533-position model. The record is from RNAcentral.